This 174-nucleotide ribosomal RNA is filed under the name Hara sp. CBM:ZF:12509. RNAcentral describes it as "partial 12S rRNA". Lineage: Eukaryota; Metazoa; Chordata; Actinopteri; Siluriformes; Sisoridae. The record is from RNAcentral.
CACCGCGGUUAUACGAAAGACCCUAGUUGAUAGCCACGGCGUAAAGGGUGGUUAAGAAGAUCUAAAAAUAAAGCUAAAGACCCUCUAGGCCGUCAUACGCACUCCGAGGGCUCGAGCCCCAGACACGAAAGUGGCUUUAAAUUUAAAUUACCUGACCCCACGAAAGCUAAGAAA